Lagopus leucura (white-tailed ptarmigan) is the source of this 946-nucleotide long non-coding RNA. RefSeq lists it as uncharacterized. The record is from RefSeq and is a predicted model, not a curated record. Lineage: Eukaryota; Metazoa; Chordata; Aves; Galliformes; Phasianidae. The transcript is spliced from 5 exons.
UUGCGUCCCCCCCUGGAGAUCUUUAGAACUGGUCAGACUCGGGCUGCGCCUGCCGGAGGACGCGAUGCCCCAGACGGCCUCCUGAAGUCCCUGCAACCUCAGCUGUGCUGUCGCUGCGAGUCGCACGGGUCUGACUUCGUGUGCCGUUGCACUCGGCCGUGAAUUUUCACGCAGCAGCUGUGUGCCAGGACACGCAAAUAAGUGAAGGUGUUCCAAUUCCCUGUUACAUCGUUACUGAAUAUCAGAGCAUCCGCUUCUGCAUGAAGUGCUGAAGAGGAGGAUGCUGAGUCCCACUACAGCAUAGAUGGAAAAGUCAUGAAAAAUCAUUGGGAUUUUCCGGAGUUAUGGAUUGUAUCAUAUGGUGUAUGUGACUGAUCAUGAGAGAGAAGACCUGAGGCCUGAUCCUGCAACUGUUACAAACAUCCUACAACAGCCAUUUCAGUCACUAAGAAUGAAUAUUGAGGGUGCAAGAUUCUCCUGCAUCAGGCUGUAAGUGAUAUUUUUCUCUACAAAGCAGGAGCCAUUGGAAGAGACACUCAGGUGUCACACCACUAUGCUGAAACUCAGAAAGUUUCUCUAGGCGCUGCUGUGGAGAACAGGACUGCUGGAACAAUGGAAGUCUUGAUGUCUGUGGAAGUGUAUUGAUCCCAUGCAAAAUCCACUGAGUCUUGGAGCCUAUCUUCUAACAACCCAGUGUCCUGAUUUGGAAAUCCUUGGUCUGGAAAAGCUCAUAUGCAGUAUUAAAACAAACUGCUUGAAUAGAAGACAGUGAAUUUAAUAUGCUUUAUGUAUGCCUUUUGACAGGUAUUUCAAGUGGCAGCUUUAAUCCGCAGUAAUUUAGAUCUGAAAGAUAAUUCUUCUGUCAGAGAAUAAAGCUGAAGAAGCCACCAAAAUCUGACCUCUGAGUUGUGGCAAAGGCAGUUUAUGGGAAAAAUCAUGAAAUGUU